Molecule: ribosomal RNA, 253 nt
Filed under: uncultured bacterium
Lineage: Bacteria
Description: partial 16S ribosomal RNA
Rfam family: Bacterial small subunit ribosomal RNA
Source: RNAcentral
UACGGAGGGUGCAAGCGUUGUUCGGAGUUACUGGGCGUAAAGAGUGCGUAGGCGGUCCUGUAAGUUUGGUGUGAAAUCUCCCGGCUCAACUGGGAGGGUGCGCCGAAGACUGCAGGGCUUGAGUAUGGGAGAGGUAAGCGGAAUUCCUGGUGUAGCGGUGAAAUGCGUAGAUAUCAGGAGGAACACCUGUGGUGUAGACAGCUUACUGGACCAUAACUGACGCUGAGGCACGAAAGCGUGGGUAGCAAACAGG